CUUGGUCUCUGCUUAGCGCCCUUGAGUCGUUGAGAUGUGCAGACUGGCUUCACUCCGUCGAUGCUUUAUAAGUGUUGCCUCUUUCGGGGUCGGGGUUACAUGUGCAGAAAUUACACCAUACUUUCAUUUGUUUGGUGGCUACUUCUCUUGAUGUUUUAACUGUUACUCAGACCUUUAAGUUAGCUGGAGGGACUUGGGACACACAGCCCUACAACAUGAAGCCUAUAGCAUCUGAGUUCUUGGACAGGACCAGAAAAGGCAUGGACUUCUUUCUAUUUUGAGACAGAGUCUCACUCUGUUGCCCAGGCUGGAGUGCAGUGAUGCAAUCUUGGCUCACUGCAGCCUCUGCUUCCCAGGUUCAAGCGAUUCUCUUGGCUCAGCCUCCCCAGUAGCUGGUAUUACAGGCACGCAUCACCAUGCCUGGCUGAUGUUUGUAUUUAUAGGAGAGACAGGGUUUCACUGUGUUGUUCAGGGUGGUCUCGAACUCCUGACCUGAGAUGAUCCACCCGCCUUGGCCUCGCAAAGUGCUGGAAUUACAGGCAUGAGCCACUGCACCUGGUUAAGAUAUGGAUUUCUAAGUGCUAUAUAUCUGGGUAUGAUCUCAUUUAAGGAUUAUACAAAAAGAUCUAGUGCUAGAUUCUCCACUGACAGACAUGAGCACAUGCAACUAUUGAACACUUGAAGUGUCACUAGUGUUCCUGAGGAACUGAAUUUCUCAUUUGAAUUAAUUUAAAGUAAAAAAUACUAGCUGGUUUGGGAGGCCGAGGCAGGUGGAUCACGAGGUGAAGAGAUCGAGACCAUCCUGGUCAACAUGGUGAAACCCCAUCUCUACUAAUGAUACAAAAAAUUAGCUGGGCGUGGUGGCACGUGCCUGUAAUCCCAGCUACUCAGGAGGCUGAGGCAGGAGAAUUGCCUGAACCCAGGAAGUUGUGGUGAGCCGAGAUUGCGCCAUUGCACUCCAGCCUGGGUAACAAGAGUGAAACUCCGUCUCAAAAAAAAAAAAAGAAAAAAAAAUACUAGCUGGGCACAGUGGCUCACACUUGUAAUCUCAGCACUUUGGAAGGCCCAGGCAGGAGGAUCACUUGAGCUCGAGUUCAAGACCAACCUGGACAACAUUGUGAGACCUCAUCUCUAUAAAAAAAUAGAAAAAAAAAUUAGCUGGGCAUGGUGGUGCAUGCCUGUGGUCCCAGCUACUCAGGAAGCUGCGGGGUGGGAGGAUCACUUGAGCCCAGGAGUUCUGGGAGGAGUUUGGGGGCAAGAGGUUGCCUUUCAGGCAGGGCACAGGAGCCUUGGAGAAGGUGCUAGAAGCUGGGGUUCCUGUGCCAAGGACUGGGAAGGCAGGUGAAGUCCUGGUUGGUGGAGUCAUGGGUAGGGGCUGGGCUGGGUGUGGGGCUGGAUGGUUUGUGCUCCCAUGCCAGCCUCCCUCUGGGUUGGUGGGACCCUCCUGAAGUCUUGGUGUGCCUGGACCUGGGUGAAGCCACACUGCAGGGACGUUCAUGUGUACAAAGUGAUCUUUCUUCCAGAAGAACAGUCUGCAAAGGUGUUUCUGCAAGCUUGCCAGAUGCCUGUGCACACCUUGUAGUGGUCCUGAAUUGAUGAACUGAUGGCUGAGUUGGGCGGAAGAGACUGUGUGCUGUAGAACUUAGAGCAGGAAGGAAGAAGUCCAUUGUCAGUUGAGUUCAGGGAAAGCUUCCUGGAGGAGGUGGAGUUUGAGCAGGGCCAUGAAGGAUGGGGGCUUUGUCCUGGAGGAAGGAGAGGUGGCAGGCCCUGCAGGGAAAUACCACACGUGGCAUCUACUCAUUCUAGGGGCCGUGUCCCCACCUCUCAACUCCCCUGCUCAUCUCCAGAGCUUGCAUCUGACUGAACUUCCUGCUUUUCCAUCUCUACUCUAAGCCUCUCUGGCCCCUACCUUUGCCCAUGCUGCCAUUCUCUCCAGCUUGUGUGUGUAUCUCACCCCUGUGUCUUGCUAGCUCUGUAUGCUGAAAUCCGGCUAGCAUGUCUGGACACUUCUUGUUGCUUCUACCUCCUCCAUUU
Callithrix jacchus (white-tufted-ear marmoset) is the source of this 2034-nucleotide long non-coding RNA. Lineage: Eukaryota; Metazoa; Chordata; Mammalia; Primates; Cebidae. The record is from Ensembl.